Non-coding RNA from Hordeum vulgare subsp. vulgare (domesticated barley), 211 nucleotides. The record is from Rfam. Lineage: Eukaryota; Viridiplantae; Streptophyta; Magnoliopsida; Poales; Poaceae.
AGCGAUACUGACGUGCAAAUCGUUCGUCUGACUUGGGUAUAGGGGCGAAAGACUAAUCGAACCAUCUAGUAGCUGGUUCCCUCCGAAGUUUCCCUCAGGAUAGCUGGAGCCUAUUACGAGUUCUAUCAGGUAAAGCCAAUGAUUAGAGGCAUUGGGGACGCAACGUCCUCGACCUAUUCUCAAACUUUAAAUAGGUAGGAUGGCUCGGCUG